AAAACACAGAAGAGGGCUUCAUUUCCUAUGUUACACGGCUAAGUCCACUACAUCUCCCUCACCAUGGGAUCCCUGCUUUGCCCAUUAAAACGUGACUCAUUUUUUUUAAAUAGAGCAAAUUUCCUUAUUAUUAAUGAUAGUAAAGAAGUCCAAAAAGGGUACCAGAGGCACAGGAAAAAGUUUAAAGCACUAAUUAUCUAUCUCCCCCACAGAGCAUUACAUAAUGUAGAAAAGGAAAGCCCAGAGAAGGAUUCUUGUCCUUCACUCACUUCCUAACUUAUCAGUUACAUUUAGAUAAACUUAACUAAACUUCUGGUCUUCAAAACAUUUAACAGUAAUAGAAAAGGGAGACACUUUGCCCAGA
RNAcentral lists this long non-coding RNA (364 nucleotides) under Bos taurus (domestic cattle). Its description in RNAcentral is "long non-coding RNA NONBTAT006723". Lineage: Eukaryota; Metazoa; Chordata; Mammalia; Artiodactyla; Bovidae. The record is from RNAcentral.